RNAcentral lists this unclassified non-coding RNA (336 nucleotides) under soil metagenome. Its description in RNAcentral is "partial contains 5.8S ribosomal RNA, internal transcribed spacer 2, and large subunit ribosomal RNA". The stretch from base 1 to 120 matches the Rfam family "5.8S ribosomal RNA", at positions 35 to 154 of the family's 154-position model. The record is from RNAcentral.
GAUGAAGAACGCAGCGAAAUGCGAUAAGUAAUGCGAAUUGCAGAAUCCGUGAGUCAUCGAAUCUUUGAACGCACAUUGCGCCCCUUGGUUAUUCCGAAGGGCAUGCCUGUUCGAGCGUCAUUUCAACCAUCAAGCCCCAGGCUUGUGUUGGGGACCUGCGGCUGCCGCAGGCCCUGAAAACCAGUGGCGGGCUCGCUAGUCACACCGAGCGUAGUAGCAUACACAUCGCUCAGGGCGUGCUGCGGGUUCCGGCCGUUAAACCCCUUUUUUACCCAAGGUUGACCUCGGAUCAGGUAGGAAGACCCGCUGAACUUAAGCAUAUCAAUAAGCGGAGGA